GGGGGAUUAGCUCAGGUGGCUAGAGUGCCUGACUGGCAGUCAGGAGGUCAUGGGUUCGAGUCCCAUAUUCUCCACCA
RNAcentral lists this transfer RNA (77 nucleotides) under Christensenellaceae bacterium. Its description in RNAcentral is "tRNA-Ala". It matches the Rfam family "tRNA". Rfam says of the family: Transfer RNA (tRNA) molecules are approximately 80 nucleotides in length. Their secondary structure includes four short double-helical elements and three loops (D, anti-codon, and T loops). Further hydrogen bonds mediate the characteristic L-shaped molecular structure. tRNAs have two regions of fundamental functional importance: the anti-codon, which is responsible for specific mRNA codon recognition, and the 3' end, to which the tRNAs corresponding amino acid is attached (by aminoacyl-tRNA synthetases). tRNAs cope with the degeneracy of the genetic code in two manners: having more than one tRNA (with a specific anti-codon) for a particular amino acid; and 'wobble' base-pairing, i.e. permitting non-standard base-pairing at the 3rd anti-codon position. Lineage: Bacteria; Bacillati; Bacillota; Clostridia; Christensenellales; Christensenellaceae. The record is from RNAcentral.